GAGGUUGGCUGUGGGAGCACACUGACCACCAGGGGGUAGCUCCUGCAUUGAGCAUCUGCCCCCUGUGGUCAGUGCACGUCAUAGUGACUGGUUGACCGGUAGUUCGGUCGUAAUGGUCUCUUGGGCUUUUAUAUAUAGAGAGUAUCUAUAGAAAUAUUAUAAAAAUUAAAAAUUCAUAAAAACUUAAAAAACUGCCAAAGGAUUAGUAGCUUCAUCCAGCUGAUGAAAAAAGUAUUCCAAAGCAUUUUAUACAUCUUAAAAGCUGUCAUCACAGAAAAAAAGAAAUCUGUAGCUGUGUGAUGGUGGAUGUUAACUAAACUGAUUGCGGGUGAUCAUGUGCAGUAUAUAUGUAUACCAAAUCAUUAUGCUUGCUGUACUCUUAAAACUAAUACAGUGUUAUAUGUCAACUAUAUCUUAGUUUAAAAAAAUACUUUUUAAUUAGAAGGAUUUGUGUUUGGUGACAACUCUUUCUUUUUAAAUAUAUUUUUAUUGAUUUUAGAGGGAGAGGAAGGGAAAGAGAGAGAUAGAAACAUCAGUUGCCCCCCACCGGGAAUCAAACCAGUGACCUCCUUGGUUCAUGGGUUGACACUUAACCACUGAGCCACCAGCCGGGCUGGUGACAACUUUUUGAAGAGGAGAAAUAAGUAAGGGAGAAAUAAGUGAGGGCUUAGUUAAAAGUAUUUUUUAAGAAAAACAACAUAAAUAAUUGUUACCUCACUUCCCCUGAAGUUGAAGGUAGAAGUUAAUCCUUGAAUUCUUGUAUGUGUUUCAGAUUUGUAUAAUCUUUAGAUAGGUAGGUAAAUAAUUCUACUUUUAAAAUUAACACAGGUUAAUUGUAGAAAAUUUAGAAAAUAAAGAAUAAGAAAAGAUUAAUAAGUACACUUUUCAUCUUUUCCUCACUGAAUUCCACUACAUUUUGGUGUGUGUUUGCGUGUGUGUGUGUGUGUGUGUUAAAAUUGAGAUUAUAUAAUCUGUCUGGUACACAUCUUCCUAUGUCAUUAAUCUUCAAAAACAUAAUUUUUAAUGGCUUUAUAUAGUCUGUAAGUUGAAUAUACCUUAAAUUACUUAACCAAAAUUAUUUUCUUGAAGAGUUAGACUAUUUUGCUAUCUUUUUUCUUUAUUAUUACCGCCCAGAUAAACAUCAUCUUAUGUAAAUAAGUACAUAGAGACAAUAUACAUCUCCAAGACAUACUGUUGAAAGAAAAAUGGAAGUUACAAAACAA
Molecule: long non-coding RNA, 1223 nt
Organism: Myotis daubentonii (Daubenton's bat)
Lineage: Eukaryota; Metazoa; Chordata; Mammalia; Chiroptera; Vespertilionidae
Source: RefSeq, a predicted model, not a curated record